AAGGGUUUGUCAUUUUCAUAAGCAUAUUCAUAUUCAAUAAAUCAAUGGACUUUUUGCAUUCAAAUAUUGCGCUCUUUAUCUUUCCUGUCUUUUUUCAAACAAGCUAUGUUUCUUGCACACACUCACGUAACAAAUCGCGUAUCCAUAUUCACUCUGGAUCCUGUUGAUAAUAGUUUUGCUACUGUUCAUUAUGACUUUGAAAAUCCGAUCUACC
This 214-nucleotide long non-coding RNA is filed under the name Lathyrus oleraceus (garden pea). RNAcentral describes it as "Pisum sativum (pea) long non-coding RNA (PSAT_LNC040774)". Lineage: Eukaryota; Viridiplantae; Streptophyta; Magnoliopsida; Fabales; Fabaceae. The record is from RNAcentral.